Molecule: ribosomal RNA, 428 nt
Filed under: uncultured bacterium
Lineage: Bacteria
Description: bacterial SSU rRNA
Rfam family: Bacterial small subunit ribosomal RNA
Source: RNAcentral
UGGGGAAUUUUGGACAAUGGGGGCAACCCUGAUCCAGCCAUGCCGCGUGAGUGAAGAAGGCCUUCGGGUUGUAAAGCUCUUUCGGCCGGGAAGAAAUCGGCGACUCUAACAUAGUCGCUGGAUGACGGUACCGGACUAAGAAGCACCGGCUAACUACGUGCCAGCAGCCGCGGUAAUACGUAGGGUGCGAGCGUUAAUCGGAAUUACUGGGCGUAAAGCGUGCGCAGGCGGUUUUGUAAGACAGAUGUGAAAUCCCCGGGCUUAACCUGGGAACUGCGUUUGUGACUGCAAGGCUAGAGUACGGCAGAGGGGGGUGGAAUUCCUGGUGUAGCAGUGAAAUGCGUAGAUAUCAGGAGGAACACCGAUGGCGGAGGCAGCCCCCUGGGCCUGUACUGACGCUCAUGCACGAAAGCGUGGGGAGCAAACAG